GACGAACGCUGGCGGCGUGCUUAACACAUGCAAGUCGAACGGAAAGGCCCUGCUUUUGUGGGGUGCUCGAGUGGCGAACGGGUGAGUAACACGUGAGUAACCUGCCCUUGACUUUGGGAUAACUUCAGGAAACUGGGGCUAAUACCGGAUAGGAGCUCCUGCUGCAUGGUGGGGGUUGGAAAGUCUCGGCGGUUGGGGCUGGACUCGCGGCUUAUCAGCUUGUUGGUGGGGUAGUGGCUUACCAAGGCUUUGACGGGUAGCCGGCCCGGGAGGGUGACCGGGCACAAUGGGACUGGGGGACGGACCAGACUCCUACGGGAGGCAGCAGUGGGGAAUAUUGCACAAUGGGCGGAAGCCUGAUGCAGCAACGCCGCGUGCGGGAUGACGGCCUUCGGGUUGUAAACCGCUUUCGCCUGUGACGAAGCGUGAGUGACGGUAAUGGGUAAAGAAGCACCGGCUAACUACGUG
This 468-nucleotide ribosomal RNA is filed under the name uncultured bacterium. RNAcentral describes it as "partial 16S ribosomal RNA". It matches the Rfam family "Bacterial small subunit ribosomal RNA", at positions 28 to 507 of the family's 1533-position model. The record is from RNAcentral.